UUAAUCCUACGGGAGGCAGCAGUGGGGGAUAUUGCACAAUGGGGGGAACCCUGAUGCAGCGACGCCGCGUGGGUGAAGAAGCGCCUCGGCGCGUAAAGCCCCGUCAGCAGGGAAGAAAAUGACGGUACCUGAAGAAGAAGCCCCGGCUAACUACGUGCCAGCAGCCGCGGUAAUACGUAGGGGGCAAGCGUUAUCCGGAGUUACUGGGUGUAAAGGGGGCGCAGACGGCGAUGCAAGCCAGGAGUGAAAGCACGGGGCCCAACCCCGGGACUGCUCUUGGAACUGCGUGGCUGGAGUGCAGAGGG
RNAcentral lists this ribosomal RNA (305 nucleotides) under uncultured bacterium. RNAcentral's name for it is "bacterial SSU rRNA". It matches the Rfam family "Bacterial small subunit ribosomal RNA", at positions 333 to 655 of the family's 1533-position model. The record is from RNAcentral.